GCGUGUUGAAGUCGGUAGUGCAACGAUUCAGUACGCUCUUCUGGAAAGAGUGAGAUGUGGGUUCGAAUCCCGACUGACGCA
Molecule: non-coding RNA, 81 nt
Organism: Parelaphostrongylus tenuis
Lineage: Eukaryota; Metazoa; Nematoda; Chromadorea; Rhabditida; Metastrongylidae
Source: the annotation of a GenBank genome assembly